AAAGGGAAUGCAAAAUUCAAUAGACAUAGUAAAUAGAAAAACAAAAAGGGGUUUUAAAAUUUGAAAAAACAUAAACCUCGAGAUCGAGUCUCUUGUAAAUGGGAGCAAGGAUGUUGAAGGUAGUGCAAGAAAAACAAGUCGGGUCAGUGAUGGAAGAAGAAAUUGCAUAGGUACCGAUUCUGGGUAUUCUCCCUUUUGCCAUCCCUCCUCCUCCUCCUCCUCCUCUUCUGUUCUUCCUUCCCAUUCCUCCAAUACCUCUCUUAUAUAUUAUAUGUGACCAUGUGGGUUGUCUAUGUAUGUGGUGAAUUUUUAAUUUUUUAAAAAAAUCGAAUUCAAAAUUCGAGCACAAACAAAACAGACACCGACAGGCAGCGACAGGCAGGCAAAUCCAAAGAAUGAAAAAAGACGGUGGAAGAAUAUGGGGAAAACUGAAUAUUCUAGGCUUUUGUCGGGUUGGGUUCGUUUAAUUAAUUCAGGGUCGACGAACACAAUUAACAAUGCGCCAACAAUAUUAUUUUCAUAUAUUUGGAGAGAUGUUCUAUCUAUGUCAUAAGAGAGAGAUGGAAAAGAAACAAAACAAGUUUUUAGGAUAGAGAAACUGUUAGUCGCUCGGUUCCUUAAUAUAAAUCGUUUUAGAUAAAUGAUUUUGUUAUUUAAUAUAAAUUAUUUAAAAAUUUCAAAUAAAUAUUAAUUGUUUAGUUUCUAAUAUUAUCCCAAGUAUUAAAUAUAACUUUAAUUCUCUCACUAUUUUUUAUCCAAUAAAUAAUAAUCUCUUAUUCCAAUACAAGGGCAAUAUAGACAAUUGAUAUUAUAGUUAAUGUUAUACAAUCAUUACCUUAAUACUUGUGCACAACCCUAAAACGACCUAUAUUAAGAAACGGAAAGAAUAUAUUGGAAGAGAGAGAGAGUGGACGUAAUCAUUUCUACUGCUAUAUUUAUUUGUUUGGGAUGCGAUCCAGUUAGUAUGAAGUUUAUUUUUUGAUAAAUUAGUUAAUUGACCAAUAUAAUACUGACACACAUAGAGUCUCGCUUGUGUGUCAGUACUUUAUUGGCCAAUUGAUCAACUUACUCAAAAAUAAAUUUCAUAUUAACCACUUCUAUUUGUUUGGUAUCUGGUUCCUUUAUCGAUUGAUUAAUAUAUUACUACCACGCGGAUUAAUUUUAUGUUAAUUACUUUCAUUUAUUUGUAGUUUUUCUACUUAUUUAUUUAGGUCACAUUACAAAAUUGUUAUUCGUAUUUUUAUAUUUUAGAAAUAAUGUGUAUAUUAAUAAAUUUUCUAAUAUUAAAUUCUAAAUAUAGAAUAAAUUAAUAUAGGAUAAUGUAUAUCUCAUGUAUUUACAUAGCUCCCUAUUUAUUAUUGACAUAAAGAUUUAACGAUAUUACCAUUUAGAUGUUAUAUGAGCCCUAAAUUUUAAGUUCCAAAAUAAUAUGCNNNNNNNNNNNNNNNNNNNNNNNNNNNNNNNNNNNNNNNNNNNNNNNNNNNNNNNNNNNNNNNNNNNNNNNNNNNNNNNNNNNNNNNNNNNNNNNNNNNNCGCAUCACUCGCUGUCAAUGAUGCCCGCCGAAGUUGAUACUGCAAAACAGCGAGAACAUAAUCAAGAUGAUAUUCAGUUUUUAAACAAAAAAAUAUUUUGGAAGAACAAGGCCAAGGAAAAUACAUCUUUCAAUUCUAUGCACUAUGUUUAAGGAUUUGAUAGUGACAAUUGAGAAUCCUUGUUUUAAAAUACAAUAGGACUUUGAUGACAAAAGAAUCUUACAAAAAGUUGCUUACAAAAUGACGUGACUGAUUGUGGUUAGUUGCUAUUACUAGGCCCACCCAUGUAUGGUGGAUCAUCCACUAAUUAAAAUGCCACAUCAUUUUGUUUGUAAGCUUUUUUUUGUCACCGUAGCAGCACUCUUUAAAAUAUGUAUAUUUUGUUCACGCAUAAGUACACCCUUGCACUCCUAUUUCAACAACAGUGCCAAUUAACAAGGGAAUGCAAGAAGUUUCACUUGCAAUAUGAGCCAAUUCCACUGCAGAUAAAAAAAUAAAUUAUUCUUCCUCCAGAGGUGAAGAUAAUUUUUAAUAUAAGUGAUAAAAAAAUGGUGGAUGCAGCAAGGAUGCCUAAUUCUAGCACAAGCUGCUUUAAGACUUUUGCUUGAUUAGUGAAGCAAGUCGCAUAUAUUUUCUGUAAUUUAUUUUAUUUUAUUUUCUUUCUUGAUAAUAAUAACAGAUUUAAUGUACUGGUACUCAGGUACUGUUGUUUGCAUAAUGUACUGCUUAGUAGUGUUUAAUCACCUAAUGACAAAAGGGGGACAGACAAAUGGGAGAAAGUCUAUGGAAUGGACGGAUACUUAGGUGCAUCAUCUAUAUUUCACGACUUUCAUGAGCAUUUAAUACACCAUUUCUAAUCCCCAUUCCAAUAACAAGAUCUUUAGUGAAAGGAAGAGAAAAUAAAACUCUGAUAUUCCAACAUAGGUUUUGAGGACUGGUACCAAGUAUUAGAACUUAAAAAAAACUGUCUAGCACAUAAUUUCAUGCCUACAAGCCAGAUAAUCGGAAAAAAACAACAAGAAGAGCAACAAAAUCAACAUUCAUUGAGCAUCUAGAAUGGAUUUCAUAGUAGGAUUAGAAAGCAUAAGAGUGAAUUUGGGACCGUCAUUCUUAGAGUUAGAUUGAGUUUUGUGUUAUUGUUAACCAUCACAAAAUUAAAUGUUAAAGGAUUAGUUCUGCUGAUUUACAAAAUGAUAUCCCUUCCAAAAUCUUGUCCUCACUUAAAACGACUCUUCUCCUUCCUGGUUGUAGCCCCUACUGCUGUGCCUUUAACUUUAAAUUAUUAUAUUUAACAUAGUCGACAUUUCUAAGGAUCGCCCAUGUAUGUAAUCAACAAUUUGGUCUUAAAGAACAUUUAAGGUGUAUAAAUAUGAGUUGCAAGCCAAAACCUAUAAAUUGAUAGACAUUAAAAAUACUUCAAAAUAUAAAAUGACAUGAAUAGCUCAAAAAACACAUACAGGAGCUUCCUACUUCUAUGGUUGCGCAGGAUCUCCCAAGUUUCAUGAAGCUGAACAGCAUGAAAUUGUUUCAAUGCAGAAGAUAACAAAAGUAUCCAAAAGAAAGAACAUAACAGACCAUAUAUUAUACACUUCAAGGAUUGAGAACAAUCAAGACAUUCUUAGGAGCUUGCUCUUCCUAAGACUAACUAUCUACUCGACUUUAAUAAUUUUGGACCAUUGAAAAGAUACAAGGGGGUUUAGUGAGUCAAUGAUUCUGUCUAGGUGCCUCUGUACUAGAACUUCUGCUAGUGUUUUUAUCAAGUAAUUAGAUUAGAAAUAACAGCUCUACCACAGAUUACAAGUAAUAAAGUAUGCUGCAUGGCCUCAAUUAAAAACUAAAAACUACCACUCCUUGGCUUCUGAUCAUCAUUUCAUGCUCCUCUACUUUUAAAAGUAGCAUGUAAGCAUCAUUAAUAGAACUGCACAUCAAAGGUGAAAGGUAGAAAAUACAAAGAAAGAAAUAGAACUGCUCACCUUGAACAUGCCAAACACUGUUUCACUCCAACUGAUUUUCAGUACUUUCCGGUAUCGGUUAGGAUUGAGAAGCCAUAUAAAGUCCACACCACAUAUAUUUCCCCGAUGAUUACGAUGGCUAACCCACUGCGUAGAAGAAAGAUAGAUGAGAAACAUGUGUAAAAUUCUAUCAUGUGAUUUUAUGGAUAAACUGAUAAAGUGAUUUGAGAUUAUGAUCAGUAGAACGUUGCUGACCUUGUCUGCCUCUGCAUCGGUGUACUGAUGAGCUGUAUCAUACGAUGAUACAAAUCCCUGGGACCUGAGGAACUUGUAAACAUGGCCUCUCUUGCUUCCAUUCCAGUCGCUGAAAAGGUAGCAGAAAUUCAUAACAUGAGAAUCAAAUGUAAUUUUACAUUGGCAUGGGAGUUACAGAACAAGACAGUAACAAAACAAAAAAUUACCCGCACAGUAGGAUUGGCAAGGGAUUAAGCUUGUUUUCUUUCUGAUAUGAUUCGACAUGCUGCAAGAUUUUGUAGACCUAUAAAAACACAUCAUCCAGGUUAAUACUGGAAAGAGCAGAGAAUAUGAUACUGAACAAUUACUGAAUGAGAGAAUACAGCACAAGAUCUUGACUGAAGCAAUUAUUCUACCUGACGCAAUCGUUCCAAGCACAAACUUGAAUCAUGAGGAAAUAAUAAGUGGGUGUUUACUAUAAGGAUUUCUUGCCGAACAUUAUUGCUUCUAUAUUGUGAAAAUGGCGUGACCAGUUCAACAUGUAACAGCUGAGCAACACGAUCUCCAAAACCAUUCAAGAGCAACUCUCGAUGGUUAAUAACUCGAAAGUAAUCUUUAUGCACGGCAGUCAGCAGACCUAUUAAUACCAAUAGCAAUCACCUUAAAUUGAGUAAAAGGCAAAUUUUAGAGUAGCAAAGUUAUAUUAUUUAUUCCACCAAAAGUUAUAUCACACUAAGUCAAUCAUGACAUAUAUAAAUAUAUACAUAUAUAAACUAAUGUAGCACCAAGCAAUCCUUUAAAGUGUGUGCGAAAGGCCGCACUACCAUCCUUUUCCAUUUCUCUUUUCAGGGAAUAAAUAAACAAAAAAAUAAUAAUUUAACUAGUUUUCUCCACAGUACCCGAAACUAAGGGAAGAUAAACGCCUUUUCAUGUUCAAUUGUUCUUUCCUUAAUAAUACAAUGAAGAAAUUAGAUAAUUGAGAAAUAACUUGGUUCUCCAACCUGGAGAAACAGGUCAAUCCAUAGAAUGGACAUCCAAUUGGCAACUUUGACAUCCAAAAGAAUGCCUACAUAUUUGAAAAGAUAAAUUUAAUAAAAGCAAUAACCCAAAAUUCUUUUGAAAUAUUACAUCCAAAAUGGAGAUAACUAUCCAAAUUGUGUAAAAUGAGACAUGGGAGGAACAUACCAUCACCGCGGUUGUUGGUGCGUGCAAGAUUGAAAUUGAUAUAGCCAGCAUCUCCAAGUCUCUUCUUAUACAUAUUAACUAACUCUUCAUUGCCAACCCAAAACUCCUUCAUUAAUAAAUAUAAAUAAACAUGUUAGUAAUGCCAUGGUUUCAUUUAUAGCCUCCUCCUAAAAUCCCUUUUCACAUUCAUAGAUUUCAUUCUAAUACAAAAGUGGGCAUAUAAAAUUAAACAAAUAUAGAAAGUGAAUAACAAUAACAAUUACAAUACCUGGAGGCAGAUAAUGGAAGAACUUUCAUACAACAACAAAUCCAAAAUCCUGUGGUUCCUGUUAAUCCAGUUAGCUCUGUAAUCGCUUUCUCUGCAAUUCUGAUCCUGCUCUUCCAAAUAAAUUAAUUCAUAUUUAAAAGGACUCUCAGAAAUUCAAAGGGAAUGCAAAAUUCAAUAGACAUAGUAAAUAGAAAAACAAAAAGGGGUUUUAAAAUUUGAAAAAACAUAAACCUCGAGAUCGAGUCUCUUGUAAAUGGGAGCAAGGAUGUUGAAGGUAGUGCAAGAAAAACAAGUCGGGUCAGUGAUGGAAGAAGAAAUUGCAUAGGUACCGAUUCUGGGUAUUCUCCCUUUUGCCAUCCCUCCUCCUCC
This 5541-nucleotide long non-coding RNA is filed under the name Panax ginseng (ginseng). RNAcentral's name for it is "long non-coding RNA (PGIN_LNC009451)". The stretch from base 965 to 1086 matches the Rfam family "MIR6135 microRNA precursor family". The record is from RNAcentral. Lineage: Eukaryota; Viridiplantae; Streptophyta; Magnoliopsida; Apiales; Araliaceae.